CGAGAUCAGCCUCGGUCUCGUGGGCUCGGAGAUGUGUAUAAGAGACAGGAAACAGCCCAGACCACCAGCUAAGGCUCCUAAAUAAAAGCUAAGUGGCAAAGGAGGUGAAAGUGCAGUGACAAUCAGGAGGUUUGCCUAGAAGCAGCCACCCUUUAAAGAGUGCGUAAUAGCUCACUGAUCAAGCGUUUUCGCGCCGAAAAUGACCGGAACUAAGUUUUUUGCCGAAGCUGUGGCUACAUCACAUAGAUGAUGUAGGGUAGAGGAGCGUUCCGUCCAGGGGGAAGCCAAGCGCGUAAGCCGCGGUCGACAGGACGGAAGUGAGAAUGUCAGAUUGAGUAACGUAAACAUUGGUGAGAAUCCAAUGCCCCGAAAACUCAAGGGUUCCUGCGCAAGGCUCGUCCGCGCAGGGUCAGUCAGGACCUAAGGUGAGGCCGAAAGGCGUAAUUGAUGGCAAGAAGGUUUAUAUUCCUUCACUAGUCUAGGCUUAGUCCUGAGGGACGAACAAAUAACACUCGGCACAACGGCCACACUUGGCAGUAUGGAUAAACCCGUUGCUGUUUGAUGCUAUUUAUUCCAAGAAAAGCUCAUUCGACUUUGAGUCUAGAUUACCUGUACCGUAAACCGACACAGGUGAGUGGGUUGAAUAAACUAAGGGGAGCGAGAUAACUCUCUCUAAGGAACUCGGCAAAUUGGCUCUGUACCUUCGGAAGAAAGAGUGCCCCUUCAUGGGGCCGCAGUGAAGAGAUCCAGGCGACUGUUUACCAAAAACACAGGUCUCCGCAAAGUCGUAAGACGACGUAUGGGGGCUGACACCUGCCCAGUGCCAGAAGGUUAAAGAAGUUGGUCAAUCUUUGAUGAAGCUAACGACUGAAGCCCUGGUGAACGGCGGCAGUAACUAUAACUGUCCUAAGGUAGCGAAAUUCCUUGUCGGGUAAGUUCCGACCCGCACGAAAGGUGUAACGAUCUGGAUACUGUCUCAGAGAGAGACUCGGUGAAAUAAAACUAGCUGUGAAGAUGCGGCUUACCUGCACACGGACAGAAAGACCCUAUGAAGCUUUACUGUAACCUGGAAUUGCUUUCAAGCUUAUUUUGCGCAGCUUAGGUGGGAGGCUACGAACCUUUUCUUCCGGGAAGAGGGGAGCCAUCAGUGAGAUACCACUCUUGGUAAGCUAGAAAGCUCAGUCUUAACCGUUAUCCGGUAAGACGACAGUUUCAGGCGGGCAGUUUGACUGGGGCAGUCACCUCCCAAAAGGUAAUGGAGGUGCACAAAGGUUCCCUCAGGUUGGACGGAAAUCAACCAUAGAGUGUAAAAGCAUAAGGGAGCUUGACUGCGAGACUGACAUGUCAAGCAGAGACGAAAGUCGGUUUUAGUGAUCCGACGGUGCUGCGUGGAAAGGCCGUCGCUCAACGGAUAAAAGUUACUCUAGGGAUAACAGGCUGAUCUCCCCCAAGAGUUCA
Molecule: ribosomal RNA, 1458 nt
Filed under: seawater metagenome
Description: bacterial LSU rRNA
Rfam family: Bacterial large subunit ribosomal RNA
Source: RNAcentral